GCAAACUUGGUCAUUUAGAGGAAGUAAAAGUCGUAACAAGGUUUCCGUAGGUGAACCUGCGGAAGGAUCAUUACUGAAUCAAAUGGAUUUGGUUGCUGCUGGCCUUUAAGAGGGCAUUGUGCACACCUACUCCAUUUUUUCAAACCCUCCCGUGCACUUUAUGUAGGACCUUGAAUGAACAGGUAAAGAAAAUGCAUUCAUGUGUUUUCAUUGCCAAUGGGUAACUGCUGUGUAGCUGAAAAGAGACCACGGCUGUUUUGCCUCUGGUUCUUCAAGGCUUCUAUGUUUUUUUUAACAUUAUACUCCACAAGCAUGUGUCAGAAUGUUAUUUGUAGACCUUUUUUGAGGUCUUAUAAAUGCAAAUACAACUUUCAACAACGGAUCUCUUGGCUCUUGCAUCGAUGAAGAACGCAGC
Molecule: unclassified non-coding RNA, 415 nt
Filed under: uncultured fungus
Lineage: Eukaryota; Fungi
Description: partial contains small subunit ribosomal RNA, internal transcribed spacer 1, and 5.8S ribosomal RNA
Rfam family: Eukaryotic small subunit ribosomal RNA (bases 1-73)
Source: RNAcentral